AUUUAAAUACAUCUCAUGUUGAGGUUCAAC
Clostridium autoethanogenum DSM 10061 is the source of this 30-nucleotide non-coding RNA. Lineage: Bacteria; Bacillati; Bacillota; Clostridia; Eubacteriales; Clostridiaceae. The record is from Rfam.